RNAcentral lists this ribosomal RNA (42 nucleotides) under Cryptosporella alni-cordatae. RNAcentral describes it as "partial 18S ribosomal RNA". The record is from RNAcentral. Lineage: Eukaryota; Fungi; Ascomycota; Sordariomycetes; Diaporthales; Gnomoniaceae.
GUAAUAAGGUCUCCGGUGGGUGAACCAGCGGAGGGAUCAUUG